This 521-nucleotide ribosomal RNA is filed under the name Dardanus venosus. Its description in RNAcentral is "partial 16S ribosomal RNA". It matches the Rfam family "Bacterial large subunit ribosomal RNA", at positions 1821 to 2606 of the family's 2925-position model. The record is from RNAcentral. Lineage: Eukaryota; Metazoa; Arthropoda; Malacostraca; Decapoda; Diogenidae.
CUCUUUGAAGGUGUAAAGAGUCUGGCCUGCCCACUGAAUUAUUGAAGGGCCGCGGUAUUCAUGACCGUGCGAAGGUAGCAUAAUCAUUAGUCUUUUAAUUGAAGGCUUGUAUGAAGGGUUGGACGAGGUAAAAGCUGUCUCAGCCAAAGACUUGAUAUUAACUUUUAGGUGAAAAGGCCUAAAUGACUUGGAAAGACGAUAAGACCCUAUAAAUCUUGAUAUUAAUUUGAACUAGUCUUUUGAUUUAUAUAUAUGAAAAAGCACUAAUUCGCUAAUAUUCUGUUGGUGUGACAAAAAUAUAGCAAGAUUCCCUGUUUUAUGUUAAAUGCAAUUUUUUUGAGUAGUAUAAAGAUCCUUAUUAGAGAUUAAGAGAUUAAGUUACUUUAGGGAUAACAGCGUUAUUUUCCUCGAGAGUUCAUAUCGAAAGGAGAGUUUGCGACCUCGAUGUUGAAUUAAAAUUUCUCUGUGGUGCAGCAGCUACUUAAGAAAGUCUGUUCGACUUUUAAAAUUUUACAUGAUUU